RNAcentral lists this ribosomal RNA (253 nucleotides) under uncultured bacterium. RNAcentral's name for it is "partial 16S ribosomal RNA". It matches the Rfam family "Bacterial small subunit ribosomal RNA", at positions 524 to 776 of the family's 1533-position model. The record is from RNAcentral.
UACGAAGGGGGCUAGCGUUGUUCGGAUUUACUGGGCGUAAAGCGCACGUAGGCGGAUAGUUAAGUGAGGGGUGAAAUCCCAGGGCUCAACCCUGGAACUGCCUUUCAUACUGGCUAUCUCGAGUCCGGAAGAGGUGAGUGGAACUCCUAGUGUAGAGGUGGAAUUCGUAGAUAUUAGGAAGAACACCAGUGGCGAAGGCGGCUCACUGGUCCGGUACUGACGCUGAGGUGCGAAAGCGUGGGGAGCAAACAGG